GACGAACGCUGGCGGCGUGCUUAACACAUGCAAGUCGAACGGUGAACGAGGGAGCUUGCUCCCUCCGGAUCAGUGGCGAACGGGUGAGUAACACGUGAGCAAUCUGCCCCGAACUCUGGGAUAAGCGUUGGAAACGACGUCUAAUACCGGAUACGACGCGGGAGGGCAUCCUCUCCGCGUGGAAAGAACUUCGGUUCGGGAUGAGCUCGCGGCCUAUCAGCUUGUUGGUGAGGUAACGGCUCACCAAGGCGACGACGGGUAGCCGGCCUGAGAGGGUGACCGGGCACACUGGGAACGAGAAACGGGCCAGACUCCUACGGGAGGCAGGAGGGGGGAAAAAUGCAAAAAGGGCGGAAGCCUGAUGGAGGCAAGCCGCGGGAGGGAAGAAGGCCUUCGGGUUGGAAACCCUUUUUAGCAGGGAAGAAGCGAAAGGGAAGGGAACUGGAGAAAAAGGAACGGCCAAAUAAGGG
This 470-nucleotide ribosomal RNA is filed under the name uncultured bacterium. RNAcentral describes it as "partial 16S ribosomal RNA". It matches the Rfam family "Bacterial small subunit ribosomal RNA", at positions 28 to 507 of the family's 1533-position model. The record is from RNAcentral.